Pleuronectes platessa (European plaice) is the source of this 5244-nucleotide long non-coding RNA. RefSeq lists it as uncharacterized. The transcript has 2 exons. The record is from RefSeq and is a predicted model, not a curated record. NCBI's taxonomy places the organism in Eukaryota, Metazoa, Chordata, Actinopteri, Pleuronectiformes, Pleuronectidae.
UCUGCUCUGUUCUUCUGAAGUAACAAGAUAAUUAAGUCAUUAAUUAAGAACAGCAGACUUGUUUUAAGGGGAAAUGAUGUCGUUUAUUUAGAAAAACAGACCAAAUUAAUUUUUUAAGAAGAUUAUCUUGUUAGCUCAGUAAAACAGAGCACCUUUUUUCUUUGGACUACAUUUCUGAAUUAACAAGAUAAUUAAGUCGUUAAUGAUAAACAGGCACCUGAGUGUAAUUUAGCGAAGAACACAAGUUAUUAUCUUCGUCAGGUCAGACACUUUAUUUACUUCAUACACACACCCAUGUAUACAAAUAUUUUUCAUUAUUCUCUACAAAGUGUAGUGUGUUUUUGCACCAGAAUGAUUUAACAUGUCUUUAAGAUGUCUGACAUCUUUGUUCUUGUUCUUGUUCUUCCUCUUCUUCUUGCAGCGGUCCAACAACCCGAGUGGCAACUCUGGACAGCAGUAUUUUACUGUGUUUCUGCAUUUGCACAAGUUCUCUUCCCCCGUCCUCACCUGUAACAAGGUAAUGACAGAUUACAAAGGGACAAUAAAAGUGAAUAAGCUUUGCAUAUCCUAUUUUACCAACUUUAAAACAUAUUCAGUGUGUCCCUGUAAGUUCUGGCUAUGAAUAUAAAAAUCUUUAGAGUGCAGUUUAGUUCACUCUCAGUGCCAUCUAUAUAUUUCUUCAUUUGAGCGUUACAUUUCAACAUAAAUGUAUUUUACUGCAAGAACUUCCGGCCAAGUUAAGUUUCUACAGACGUCUUUAGGUUUGUUUUUUAAAGUUGAAUGUCGACAAUUGUUUUACAUUAUAAAGUUUAAGAGGAUCUAAACUGAUGCGUUUUGUUAUCUUACGUCCACCAGUUUCAGUGAAUAACGGAUGAAAACAUUUCCCUGCUCAUGUGACAAUUUUAUAAACUACAUAUAGAUGAUAGAAUAGUUGUAAAGCAAAAUUGCAGGUUUUAUUACGUAUAUUAGGUGAUAUUCUUUAACAUAAAAAGCGAUAUGUCUCAAUCAUUACAAACUAAAACUAAGCUAAGUAUUUUAAUCAGUAUAUACUACUAAGAGAAACUUGCAUACCAACACACGAUAAAAUAAAACAUCUGUUAUAAAUGUUUCUAGGGUAUUCUAAGUUCCAUAAGAAUGAAUGAUAGUUAACAUAUUUUACUAAAAUAACCUCUUUAAGCUCCAGACAUUUGAGGCAAAAUCUUCUGAUUUGACCUUUCAUUUAAAAACCCAGAUAUAUUUUGCACAUAAACUAAAUUAACAUGAUUUGUUACUAGAUUACAUCAAAGGUGAACCUUUUAUUUUUCUGUUCAGGAAGUGAAAUGUCAUGAGAAUCACUCAAAAGAAGAAGGAACAUAUAAAAGGAAGGAAGAACAAGCUUUUAAUAAACAUUCAACUUGCACAGGAAACACCAACACACUUACACAGAAAUAACAGAGACAAGAACGAAUGUGUGAAAUCCUGUGAGCAGUGCCCACUGAACUGGACUCUUCUGUUGAAAUGAAACCUAUGAUGUGUGUCUGUUGCACUGGUGUCUGUGUCAUAUACUGUUCGGAAUAGCAGUGUUUUGUUUGAUGUUUUACAAAAAAAUAAUAAAUAUACUUAUAAUAAAUAUUUUAAAUACAGUCAUAAAUUAUUAAAUAAAUAACAUAUGUAUGGUCUAUAUCUAAACUGAGGGCUGACAUCCAUAAAGGACCUUAUAGGAAAAUGUGGAUAUGUGAGAGCAAACACGGAGCAGAAGCAGACAGAAGCAGCUUCAAAUAACAUCAGUUGGUUACAUUUUUCCAAGGAGUCCACUCGCUCCAGGUUGAGAGCACCAGCGAGUCUCUGGAGCGAACCCUCAGCUUGCUGAUGCUCUUCGGCACCAGUGAAGAUAAAGAGCGGCCAAUCUAAAAUCAGACAGGAAACACCAUGAGGAAACAAAACGAAAGACAGGCAUGAAGAGAUCUCUAGACUUUCUAUCAAUCAUAGCUUGUGUUCACCUUCCCAUCAUCUUUGAACACGUAUUCAAUCUCAUGCUCCAGACCGAAGAAACUGUGAGGCGUGGACCAGCUGGAUGGAGGAUCUAUGGUCACGUUCAGAUCCAAAUCCAACUCCUGACACGUGCCAAUCUGGGGACUGUCAGGUUGAACUUGACAGAAAAAAACAGUAAAACAUAUGAAACAUCAAAGUCUGUCAGGAGAUAAUCAUGAAAGACAAUACUGUGUAAGUAAAUUAACAAAUAUUUGUGCAACAAUUUCAUGACUGCUUAUAUUUGCCACUUUAUCCAGCAUCGUAAAAUACAUGUUUUUGAAAAUAAUUGCAUUUUAUACUUUUAUCUAGCUAUAGUUAGAAUUUCCUUUUUUAAUUUAUCACAAAGCCACUUCACUUUUGUCCUUUGUGAUCAACUCUAUUGUUUAUUUCCAAUCUUGAUAACCUUCUGCUGAAUGCCUUUGUUGUGGCUCAGGUUCACUCAGCUCACCAAUGUCUCGGAGAUAAAAUCUCCUUGUUGUCCUGUGGACAUUGAGGUCAACAAUGGCCUCAGCGGUGAGUUCGAGCAUGGUGCUUUCCUCAGCGUAGGGUGACAGGGAGUGCGACAGCUCAAACUGGAAUCCCCCGUCCCGAUUCUGAUCACCGCUGCUGAUCCAGUGACACAACUUCCCUCCUUCAGUGCUUCAAUGAUGCAAGGAAUGAAUUAGACACUGAUUGAAAUACGUCAUUUGGAAAGCUCUAAUUCUGGCUGUGUCAUAGUUCAUCUUUAUACACUAUAUGUAACAGUGUGGUCUUUCCAGUGUAAAUUGUGUGGUAUUUACCAGUCAUGGCCCAGUCCGACGCGCACUGCUGUGAAUUCACUGUUGCUGAAGAUACAGCUGAAGCUACAGUGAUAAGACUUUGCCAAACAAGUGAUGAGGGAAUCUAUAAAGACACAAUGUGAGUGGAAGCAAAUUGAGUCUUUGGGCAGGAGAUAUCACAGAAUGAAAGACAUUAUUGUUAGAAGUGCAGCAUCAUUCUUUUCAUUUUGAGUUCAUUUUCAGUUUCCUCCUCGAGACUUAGGAAAUAUUCCACCCAGACUGACUGCCCCGUUUAAACUGGCUCUUUGUUCCUCUAUUUGUGACCUAACACUUCUAGACAGUAGAACAGAUGAAAAAUGAAAUAAGCAUCUCACCUAAUUCCUCUUUCUCCUCCACCUCCAGCAGCAGGUGGGUCGAUGAUAACAUCUCGUCUCCUCUCCAGCAGCUGUACUCUCCCAGCAAGGGAAUCUCCACGUAAGUCACGCUCAGAUUUUGACCGACCUGCUGGAUAUUAUCCUCAAUUUCCAACUCGAACCCUUGAAACAUCCACUUGACUUCUCCAUCAUUGUUUGUGCCGCAGGUCAGUGUGACUGGCUCUGCGUCGUUAAAUUUUGCCACAACAACUACACAAACAUGCAGACACACAGGCACAUAGAUCAAGAUCAAUACAUUUAAAACCUCCGAAGAUGUGGAAAAUAUUAGGAGUGAAAAUAUAUGGCUCUAUUAAUAAGACGUACAAUUUUUUGGAAAGUCGUGGAGUACAUUCGCUUCUGUGAGGCUGAUGAGCAGAAGUCCGAAUUUCCACAGAGACAAAUUCAUCUGAGGAAAAGAGAGACAACAAGAGGAGGAGGAGAUUAUUGAACACACGUUACUUUUGUUUAAACGUAAACGAUUAUAAUUAAAACUUAGAAUUAUAACAUAUAAAAUUACGAUUAAUUAUAAGGAUAAACAAACAUUUUAAUUGACUGAAUACUUUUGGUUAAAGAAAAUGGUUAAUAUCAGAAAAGGUAGGUACUGUACUAUUAUUUACCGUAAACAAUCAAGUGCCACAUCAAUUAAUUAAUACAAUUGAAUGAUAAUUAAUAAUAAGUAGAUAGUAGUUAGCUCUUACCAUUUGGAUGAAAUUACAGUCAAGUGAUGCUGAAAAGUGAAGAGCGGAGGUCCAGUUGGAGUGAUCCUGCGAAUUGUUUGCUCUCAAUGUCCACUGAGCUUCAUUUUUAUAUCUUGGCUUUCAUCAUCAUCAGUAUCAACACUGCCAUAGCACCUUGGAGGUGAGAGUGAAACUGCUCAACAGACUUUUCGACAGAGGCAGCGGGAAAUGCAUUUCCUCAGUCCUGUUUUGAAUGUCAAAUUUUGUAAACAGAUAAACAGUGAGUUUCAGACAAGGGACUGAGAGGCGGUGAUAAGAAAUGUUUGGCGUGGGCGUUACAUGGGGGGUUACCCUCAGCCUUUAAGAUGAAAUACUGCUGUAUAUCAGUAUCUGACGAAUACUGUGUCUGAUUAACAAAACUGGAACCACCCCCCCCCCCUCUUCCCAAACACACACACACACACGCACAUCAAUCACAUCCAUACAUUUGAUCUUCUAUCUUUAUGAGAGGCAAAUCUGAUUAGUAUCAUACAUUUAAAGUUGAUCUCAUCUUAAAAGAAUAUAUCUGUGUCAUAUCUUUAUGAACAGACCUAAUGGAAAUUGAGAAGAAAAUUUACAAAAUCCUGAUUGGUCACCAUGAUCUUAUAAUCUUUCUUUUCUGUUGAUUUUAACCUCAUUCUUUUAUAUUUCUUUAUAUAUUAUUCUUACGAGACUAGCUGAGAUGAUUGAUGGUUGAUAAGUGGAAACAUAUCUGCACAUAGGCAGUUUUUGGUAACGAUGAUAUUUCCCUGAUCAAGAUCGUCCUGACCAUUAAUCCUGGACCAUUAAUCCUGGAUUUUCCCCGAAGAUAAUUCAGAACUAUUGUGGCUAACGCAAAGACCGAGAAAAGUGGGUUUCUUUAAGUCGUUCAGAGGUUUUCCCCAUCAUACCACCUUGUGAGGACAUGUGAUGACCUUCAAGUUCCAGGCCAUGCACACACUUCAAACAGAAAAAGAGACGGGCCGACAACUGGACUUCCCCUUCCUGUUACUCAUACAUGAUUCAAUGCCUGCAUGUACAAAUUGGCUUACCUGGAACCUCAUCAUCCUCGUCCUCCUCCUCAGCAGCAACCAUGGGGGCUUUGUUUUCUCCACCUAUGAAGGAAAAUUAAAUGACAGAUUGUUGACAAAGAGCAAACAGACAGGAAUUGAUGCGUGUCAACAUGUCAGCAAAGAGUUUACCUGGUUUGGGAAGGGUCUCUGCUAAUCUCCUGAGGCUGGUGAGACUGUCAGCUCCCAUCUGGUUGAGGAUUGCUGGGAGCAUCUCUGUGAGCUGCUUGUUCUCAGCAUGCCCUGUGAUCGUGAAGGUGUUGGCCGCCAAGGAUGCCUGAACCUUUGGGUUGUUGAA